GACGAACGCUGGCGGCGUGCUUAACACAUGCAAGUCGAACGGAAAGGCCCUGCUUUUGUGGGGUGCUCGAGUGGCGAACGGGUGAGUAACACGUGAGUAACCUGCCCUUGACUUUGGGAUAACUUCAGGAAACUGGGGCUAAUACCGGAUAGGAGCUCCUGCUGCAUGGUGGGGGUUGGAAAGUUUCGGCGGUUGGGGAUGGACUCGCGGCUUAUCAGCUUGUUGGUGGGGUAGUGGCUUACCAAGGCUUUGACGGGUAGCCGGCCUGAGAGGGUGACCGGCCACAUUGGGACUGAGAUACGGCCCAGACUCCUACGGGAGGCAGCAGUGGGGAAUAUUGCACAAUGGGCGGAAGCCUGAUGCAGCAACGCCGCGUGCGGGAUGACGGCCUUCGGGCUGUAAACCGCUUUCGCCUGUGACGAAGCGUGAGUGAUGGUAAUGGGUAAAGAAGCACCGGCUAACUACGUGCCAGCAGCCGCGGUGAUACGUAGGGUGCGAGCGUUGUCCGGAUUUAUUGGGCGUAAAGGGCUCGUAGGUGGUUGAUCGCGUCGGAAGUGUAAUCUUGGGGCUUAACCCUGAGCGUGCUUUCGAUACGGGUUGACUUGAGGAAGGUAGGGGAGAAUGGAAUUCCUGGUGGAGCGGUGGAAUGCGCAGAUAUCAGGAGGAACACCAGUGGCGAAGGCGGUUCUCUGGGCCUUUCCUGACGCUGAGGAGCGAAAGCGUGGGGAGCGAACAGGCUUAGAUACCCUGGUAGUCCACGCUGUAAACGGUGGGUACUAGGUGUGGGGUCCAUUCCACGGGUUCCGUGCCGUAGCUAACGCUUUAAGUACCCCGCCUGGGGAGUACGGCCGCAAGGCUAAAACUCAAAGGAAUUGACGGGGCCCCGCACAAGCGGCGGAGCAUGCGGAUUAAUUCGAUGCAACGCGUAGAACCUUACCUGGGUUUGACAUGGAUCGGGAGUGCUCAGAGAUGGGUGUGCCUCUUUUGGGGUCGGUUCACAGGUGGUGCAUGCCUGUCGUCAGCUCGUGUCGUGAGAUGUUGGGUUAAGUCCCGCAACGAGCGCAACCCUUGUUCACUGUUGCCAGCACGUUAUGGUGGGGACUCAGUGGAGACCGCCGGGGUCAACUCGGAGGAAGGUGGGGAUGACGUCAAGUCAUCAUGCCCCUUAUGUCCAGGGCUUCACGCAUGCUACAAUGGCUGGUACAGGGAGUGGCGAGCCUGUGAGGGUGAGCGAAUCUCGGAAAGCCGGUCUCAGUUCGGAUUGGGGUCUGCAACUCGACCUCAUGAAGUCGGAGUCGCUAGUAAUCGCAGAUCAGCAACGCUGCGGUGAAUACGUUCCCGGGGCU
This 1346-nucleotide ribosomal RNA is filed under the name uncultured bacterium. RNAcentral's name for it is "partial 16S ribosomal RNA". It matches the Rfam family "Bacterial small subunit ribosomal RNA", at positions 28 to 1381 of the family's 1533-position model. The record is from RNAcentral.